UACGGAGGGUGCGAGCGUUAAUCGGAAUUACUGGGCGUAAAGCGCGUGUAGGUGGUUUUGUAAGUCUGAUGUGAAAGCCCGCGACUCAAUCGCGGAAGUGCAUUGGAUACUGCAAGACUGGAGCAUGGGAGAGGUGGACGGAAUUCCUGGUGUAGAGGUGAAAUUCGUAGAUAUCAGGAGGAACAACAGAAGCGAAAGCGGUUCACUGGACCAUUGCUGACGCUGAGGCGCGAAAGCGUGGGGAGCAAACAGG
This 253-nucleotide ribosomal RNA is filed under the name uncultured bacterium. RNAcentral describes it as "partial 16S ribosomal RNA". It matches the Rfam family "Bacterial small subunit ribosomal RNA", at positions 524 to 776 of the family's 1533-position model. The record is from RNAcentral.